ACCACGGGAGCCCUGGAGCCGGGCUGAGAGGGCGAGGCAUCGCCGACCGUCGCACCUGAUCCGGGUCGUACCGGCGGAGGGAGGU
RNAcentral lists this non-coding RNA (85 nucleotides) under Kytococcus sp. HMSC28H12. Its description in RNAcentral is "TPP riboswitch aptamer (THI element)". It matches the Rfam family "TPP riboswitch aptamer (THI element)", at positions 8 to 91 of the family's 105-position model. From Rfam's summary of the family: Vitamin B(1) in its active form thiamin pyrophosphate (TPP) is an essential coenzyme that is synthesised by coupling of pyrimidine and thiazole moieties in bacteria. The previously detected thiamin-regulatory element, thi box was extended, resulting in a new, highly conserved RNA secondary structure, the THI element, which is widely distributed in eubacteria and also occurs in some archaea. The record is from Rfam by way of RNAcentral. RNAcentral also lists the same sequence under 1 other name. Lineage: Bacteria; Bacillati; Actinomycetota; Actinomycetes; Micrococcales; Kytococcaceae.